GAUGAACGCUGGCGGCGUGCCUAAUACAUGCAAGUCGAGCGAACAGAUGAGGAGCUUGCUCCUCUGACGUUAGCGGCGGACGGGUGAGUAACACGUGGAUAACCUACCUAUAAGACUGGGAUAACUUCGGGAAACCGGAGCUAAUACCGGAUAAUAUAUUGAACCGCAUGGUUCAAUAGUGAAAGACGGUUUUGCUGUCACUUAUAAAUGGAUCCGCGCCGCAUUAGCUAGUUGGUAAGGUAACGGCUUACCAAGGCAACGAUGCGUAGCCGACCUGAGAGGGUGAUCGGCCACACUGGAACUGAGACACGGUCCAGACUCCUACGGGAGGCAGCAGUAGGGAAUCUUCCGCAAUGGGCGAAAGCCUGACGGAGCAACGCCGCGUGAGUGAUGAAGGUCUUCGGAUCGUAAAACUCUGUUAUUAGGGAAGAACAAAUGUGUAAGUAACUAUGCACGUCUUGACGGUACCUAAUCAGAAAGCCACGGCUAACUACGUG
This 497-nucleotide ribosomal RNA is filed under the name uncultured bacterium. Its description in RNAcentral is "partial 16S ribosomal RNA". It matches the Rfam family "Bacterial small subunit ribosomal RNA", at positions 28 to 507 of the family's 1533-position model. The record is from RNAcentral.